This is a non-coding RNA of Vibrio sp., 139 nucleotides long. The record is from Rfam. Lineage: Bacteria; Pseudomonadati; Pseudomonadota; Gammaproteobacteria; Vibrionales; Vibrionaceae.
UCAUCAUCACCAUCACCCAAUUUAGUCUUUCGGGCGAUGUACGCGUACCCGGGAGACAGGUUACUCCCGGUGGUUUGAAUCUCAUACUAACAAGAUUACCAACCCUCGGGAGACCAACAUCUCUCGAGGGUUUUUGCUU